RNAcentral lists this transfer RNA (75 nucleotides) under Candidatus Berkelbacteria bacterium. Its description in RNAcentral is "tRNA-Ile". It matches the Rfam family "tRNA". From Rfam's summary of the family: Transfer RNA (tRNA) molecules are approximately 80 nucleotides in length. Their secondary structure includes four short double-helical elements and three loops (D, anti-codon, and T loops). Further hydrogen bonds mediate the characteristic L-shaped molecular structure. tRNAs have two regions of fundamental functional importance: the anti-codon, which is responsible for specific mRNA codon recognition, and the 3' end, to which the tRNAs corresponding amino acid is attached (by aminoacyl-tRNA synthetases). tRNAs cope with the degeneracy of the genetic code in two manners: having more than one tRNA (with a specific anti-codon) for a particular amino acid; and 'wobble' base-pairing, i.e. permitting non-standard base-pairing at the 3rd anti-codon position. The record is from RNAcentral. Lineage: Bacteria; Candidatus Berkelbacteria.
AGGCCCGUAGCUCAGUGGCAGAGCGGUCGGCUUAUAUCCGACUGGUCGCAGGUUCGAUCCCUGCCGGGCCUACCA